UACGUAGGGUGCAAGCGUUGUCCGGAAUUAUUGGGCGUAAAGAGCUCGUAGGCGGUUUGUCGCGUCUGCUGUGAAAACUCGGGGCUUAACUCCGGGCCUGCAGUGGGUACGGGCAGACUAGAGUGCGGUAGGGGAGACUGGAAUUCCUGGUGUAGCGGUGAAAUGCGCAGAUAUCAGGAAGAACACCAAUGGCGAAGGCAGCUCUCUGGGACGGUACUGACGCUGAGACGCGAAAGCGUGAGGAGCGAACAGG
RNAcentral lists this ribosomal RNA (253 nucleotides) under uncultured bacterium. RNAcentral's name for it is "partial 16S ribosomal RNA". It matches the Rfam family "Bacterial small subunit ribosomal RNA", at positions 524 to 776 of the family's 1533-position model. The record is from RNAcentral.